UACGUAGGGAGCAAGCGUUGUCCGGAAUCAUUGGGCGUAAAGCGCGCGUAGGUGGCCUCAUAAGUCCGCUGUGAAAGUCAAAGGCUCAACCUUUGAAAGCCGGUGGAUACUGUGAGGCUAGAGUACGGAAGAGGCGAGUGGAAUUCCUGGUGUAGCGGUGGAAUGCGCAGAUAUCAGGAGGAACACCAAUAGCGAAGGCAGCUCGCUGGGACGUUACUGACACUGAGAAGCGAAAGCAUGGGGAGCGAACAGG
RNAcentral lists this ribosomal RNA (253 nucleotides) under uncultured bacterium. RNAcentral describes it as "partial 16S ribosomal RNA". It matches the Rfam family "Bacterial small subunit ribosomal RNA", at positions 524 to 776 of the family's 1533-position model. The record is from RNAcentral.